RNAcentral lists this ribosomal RNA (580 nucleotides) under Paracoccus sp. enrichment culture clone AM8. Its description in RNAcentral is "partial 16S ribosomal RNA". It matches the Rfam family "Bacterial small subunit ribosomal RNA", at positions 189 to 789 of the family's 1533-position model. The record is from RNAcentral. Lineage: Bacteria; Pseudomonadati; Pseudomonadota; Alphaproteobacteria; Rhodobacterales; Paracoccaceae.
GCGCCCUUCUGGGGAGAGAUUUUUCUCCCCAGGAUUUUCCCCCGUUGGAUUAUGUGUUUGGUGGGGUAUUGGGCUCCCCCGCCCACAAUCUCUAUCUGGUUUGAGAGGAUGAUCUCCCCCACUGUGACUGAGACACGGCCCCCACUCUUCCGGGAGGCGCCACUGGGGAAUCUUAUACACUGGGGGCGCCCCUGAUCUAUCCCUGCCCCGUGAGUGAUGAAAGCCCUCUGGUUGUAUAGCUCUUUCUCCUGGGAAGAUAUUGACGGUACCCCCACAAAAAACCCCGGCUAUCUCUGUGCCCCCACCCCCGGUAUUACAGAGGGGGCUAUCGUUGUUCUCAAUUACUGGGCGUAUAGCGCACGUAUGCGGACCGCAAAGUUGGGGGUGAGAUCCCGGGGCUCUCCCCCGGAGCUGCCUUCUCAACUAUCUCUCUGGAGUUCUAGAGAGGUGAGUGUAAUUCCCAGUGUGUAGGUGAGAUUCUUAUAUAUUCUGAGGAGCACCCCUGUCGAAAGCGGCUCUCUGUCUCUAUACUGACACUGAGGUGCGAAAGCGUGUGGAGCACACACGAUUAUAUACCCUG